This 504-nucleotide ribosomal RNA is filed under the name uncultured bacterium. RNAcentral's name for it is "bacterial SSU rRNA". It matches the Rfam family "Bacterial small subunit ribosomal RNA", at positions 29 to 507 of the family's 1533-position model. The record is from RNAcentral.
AACGAACGCUGGCGGCGUGCCUAACACAUGCAAGCGUGCGAGAACGCUUCCUUCGGGGAGUUAGUAGAGCGGCGCACGGGUGAGUAACACGUAGGUAAUCUACCUCGUAGCCUGGGAUAACUGGCCGAAAGGUCAGCUAAUACCGGAUAAGACCACGACCUCCUCGGAGGUUGCGGCCAAAGGCGGCCUCUUCUUGAAAGCUGUCACUAUGGGAUGAGCCUGCGGCCCAUUAGUUUGUUGGUGGGGUAACGGCCUACCAAGGCGAUGAUGGGUAGCUGGUCUGAGAGGAUGAUCAGCCACACUGGAACUGAGACACGGUCCAGACUCCUACGGGAGGCAGCAGUGGGGAAUAUUGCGCAAUGGGGGAAACCCUGACGCAGCGACGCCGCGUGGGUGAUGAAGGCCUUCGGGUCGUAAAGCCCUGUCGUGAGGGAAGAAAUCGUUGUCGGCUAAUACCCGGCAGCGUUGACGGUACCUCACAAGAAAGCACCGGCUAACUCCGUG